UGUUUUCCUUCAUUUCUUUUCCACUGAAGAAAGAAAGACAUGAACAUCUUGGAUGACAUGGAGUAUCAGGAAAUUUGAAUUCUGAAUCCUUUAAAGGCAGAAAUGUGCUUGUAUUUUUGUCUAAGCUGAAGUGUAAAAACAAACAAAAUUGGAAAAAUAAUGACUUUGAUCGAACAGGUAUAGCCCCGCCCACUCAGAGCAUUGGUUGAGCCAAUGUCAAUCAAACAUGUAAAUCAGUACAACUGGUGCAGAAAUUAAGCACUUCUUCACCUUUAAUUAAUAAAUCAGUAUCAAUGUGCGUUAUUAGAGCUGUUAAUUAUGAAAUUUUUCUUUUGGAGCUGAAAUAAUGGAUGCACCUUUACACAGAUAAGGCUAUAGUAAGUGAUUCUGUCCCUAGCUGACAAAAAUAUGUUCUUUUAACAUUUUGCAUCUCACAUAUGCUGUAUAAACAACAAAAAAGAUUCACAAAUCCAUCACCAGAACAAACGCAGCACAGUUGAAUUACUCAUUAUUUCGAAUGGCGUGUUCUGCAGAAAUGGGAUUGGUGUUUUAUUAUGAUUUAUGUAAUGGAAUAUGCCUCUGUGGAAUAUGUAUUCCAGACAGCAGGAAAUGAUUUUCAUAAUCAUGCUUUAGGUUUGUUAAUGAGCGAUCAGCAGUACAUAAUCUCAUUUACUGGUGUGAAGGAGCAAUCAACAUCUCAAUUAUUCCCGCCUAAUAUCGUCAAUGAUUUCCAAACGGCCCGCGGCGGGAAUUAACUCUGCCAAGAAUGUGCGCGCGCUGCUGUUGCCGUGCCAACAAGCAGCAUUCUGAAGAAGAGAGCGGGAAAUUUCCUUCUGUUGUCCGUUAUGAUGUCAUCACGUGACACAUGCAAGGAAAUAUACGCUUUCUCUGCGAAUCUGCCCUAAGAAUAACACACUUUUCGUGCUUUCUCUGCUGUUGGUGUACUGUGCAAGCUUGUGUCUGUUCUGAAUGGAGUCAUGCUGCAGCAUCAUGUGACGUCCACUAGGGGUCCCGCUGUGUGUUGAGGGUCCGGUGGGAGGGACCGCCUCGCUCUCAGUGGAACGGCAGCGGAUUGGUGACACGGAGUGGAUAUCCCUCUACAUCUGUUGAGUUUUGAGCGACAUGAAGACGGGUGUGUUACAUCACAGUCCGAGGAGAGGGAAACAGGGACAGAUGUAACAUCGGUGACCCCAAUCGACUGAAGCGCCGCUCUCUUCCUCUGGAGGACAGACGCAGGAUUCUCUGCAGUCUCUUUCUUUUCCAUUUCAGUCAUUCUGUGCGUCUGUCCGUCCGUCAGUGAUCCUGCAUCUCUCCAGUGCCGCUCUGACGGUGGUGAUGAACCUGACCUGAUUGAAAACGCUGCUGCAGUCACGUUCAGAAGACGAUUAUUGUGGGUCAGUCUGCUGGUUAAUGGAGAACAGUCACCUUGACUCGAUCGAUGUCUGUUAUGAAGAGUAAUAUCAGCUCCUGACUGCAUCACGGCGGUCGUUUCGUCUCCUCAGCCGCAGGAAACACUGUUGCUCAACUUCAGCGUUCAGGACAGUCGAAUCAUUACACAACGAGUUUAGAAACACAAACAGAACGUGACGAGAGAAACAGCUUGUGAGACGCCUACAUAGACAGCAUUUCUAGGCUGUUUAACAGAAUGUGGCAAAAACACCAAAAUAAAAUAUGAGGAACAAAAUUCUGAUGGAUUUUUCAUGUUUUAGUGACUCUGGUUGUUUUGGUGAGACCAGAGGAAACACCAUCUGCUUCAGACGGGUCCAGCACAGGAGAACAACACCAGCACCACCAUAAGAACAUCUCCAUCACUGACAGACACAGAGACAGACAGCAGUGAUGGUCUGAAGGCAGCAGAUGGGUGACAAACAGUCUGGCUGCAGGAGUCAAGGUGAACGCUACACCUGUUGUUUACCUGACAGAGCUCUGGACAGGAAAUAUGAGGCAAUCAUGUUCAUCAAGCCACAGUCAAGCAGGAAAUCAUUUGCAACCGACAUCAUCAUCCACCUGUUGGAGUCGGAGCCGCUUUUCAGACUCUCCAUUAACCUGCAGCAGAGUUCACGUCUGAGUAAUAUCGGUUGUGAAGACGCUGUGGAAGAAACAAACACUGCGGUUCUUGUAGUGUUGUCAUCCUUCAUCUGCAGCCCACUGGGAUCAUCCCUCUCUACGAUUCACCAUUCUGACUUCUGAGUGUGUUUAGAGAAACGUAACUAACCUGACAGCAGUCAAACACACUUGAUCACUUAUUUCUGUCUGAUCCGCUCACAGGCUGUUCAUCAGUUUGACUUCUUUAUUUGUAUGUUUGAUUGGCGUCUGCUGUCCUCGGACACUGAGACUACAGCGAGAAGUGCUGACAUCAGCGUUCCUGCAGUGCACUCUGGGACAGACACGUUCUGCUGACACACAGUCCUUUCUCUCAAAACCUCAUAUUAGACCACAAACUUCUCCUUGUCUCCAUUUUUCAGAUGGGUCGGUGUUUCUGCUGUGUGUGUGUGAUCUGGAGCGGAUGCUGAUGGAUGGACUAUCCGUGGCUCUCUGUUGAUUCAGCAGUUGGAUUCAGCACUUUCCAGGAAAAACACCUCCUCUUCAGGAUGGAUGAAACCUCGGCUUCAUGAGCGGCUCUACAGCAGGACCAUCAAUCCAUCAUUAUAAGAUGUUUAAAUGUGCCGCAUGCAAAUGGAGCGAGUGUUUGAUGUGCAGAGUUUAACAGCGUCACACAGGAAGUGACACUCAUAUAUUCAUACAUGCUAAUUCUCAUCAUUCGGACCUGAUACAGUUUUUUUUAAUUGCUUAUGCACUAAAAGUGAGGCUGAACUGAACCUUCAAAGCAAGUCUGCAAAACUGCAAAUGCAUCACGUGCUUUAAAAUUAGUUUGCAUUUGUAAAGCAAACUUUUUUGCAAAACUCUAAACACAGUUCUCUACUGUAGACACAUACAGCUUGUGUUUUAUUUGGGAAACACUGACAUUUAAAUAUCACAAUCAUUUACUGAUGACCUACAGCCAAUCAUCAAGUGCGAAAACACUUGACUUGAUCACUUAGAAAUCAACAAACACAUGUGAGUGUGCGUCCUGUAAACUGAUCUGACCGCUAAAAUACUCUGUGUCCCAGUCACAUGACCACCAUGACGGAGGUCGCAUGAAUAAAUUUGGAUUCUCUUG
This is a long non-coding RNA of Megalobrama amblycephala (Wuchang bream), 3160 nucleotides long. RefSeq lists it as uncharacterized. The record is from RefSeq and is a predicted model, not a curated record. The transcript has 11 exons. NCBI's taxonomy places the organism in Eukaryota, Metazoa, Chordata, Actinopteri, Cypriniformes, Xenocyprididae.